RNAcentral lists this ribosomal RNA (433 nucleotides) under uncultured bacterium. RNAcentral's name for it is "partial 16S ribosomal RNA". It matches the Rfam family "Bacterial small subunit ribosomal RNA", at positions 29 to 507 of the family's 1533-position model. The record is from RNAcentral.
AACGAACGCUGGCGGCAUGCCUAACACAUGCCAGUCGAACGAGACCUUCGAGUCUAGUGGCGCACGGGUGCGUAACGCGUGGGAACCUGCCCUUAGGUUCGGAAUAACUCCCCGAAAGGGGUGCUAAUACCGGAUAAUGUCUUCGGACCAAAGAUUUAUCGCCUUUGGAUGGGCUCGCGUUGGAUUAGCUAGUUGGUAGGGUAAAAGCCUACCAAGGCGACGAUCCAUAGCUGGUCUGAGAGGAUGAUCAGCCACACUGGGACUGAGACACGGCCCAGACUCCUACGGGAGGCAGCAGUGGGGAAUAUUGGACAAUGGGCGAAAGCCUGAUCCAGCAAUGCCGCGUGAGUGAUGAAGGCCUUAGGGUUGUAAAGCUCUUUUACCCGGGAUGAUAAUGACAGUACCGGGAGAAUAAGCUCCGGCUAACUCCGUG